GCAGGGGUUGCCGAGUCUGGUAAAGGCGCAGGACUUAGGAUCCUGUACUUAGUGUUCCGGGGGUUCGAAUCCCCUCCCCUGCACCA
Molecule: transfer RNA, 86 nt
Filed under: Methanobacteriota archaeon
Lineage: Archaea; Methanobacteriati; Methanobacteriota
Description: Euryarchaeota archaeon (anaerobic digester metagenome) tRNA-Leu
Rfam family: tRNA
About the family: Transfer RNA (tRNA) molecules are approximately 80 nucleotides in length. Their secondary structure includes four short double-helical elements and three loops (D, anti-codon, and T loops).
Source: RNAcentral